GGCUGGCGAGGCGGGAGGAGGAAGCCAGCCAGUCCACCGGCGAGAGCGUGGCCGCGGGAAGGCGCGACAGCGAGAGGCGGAGGAGACCCCGCGCGGCGCUCCGCUCCGCCUCAAACGCCUCCUUAUCUUGUUCCCAACGGAUAGCUCCCGGCUCCCGAGUUCCCGCGCGCGCACACCCACCGGACGGCACGCGCCUCGCCUCCCACUGCAUCCAAGCCAACUGCUCUGGCGCCAUGGCGGCGGCGGCGGUGGCGGGGUGCUUCCCCGCUUGCUGCCGCUGCGCGUCCUCCUCCCGGUCCCGGGUGACGCCCGCGUCCACGUCGGUCGCCGCCUGCGUGCUCCAGCCGCCGCGCCGGAGGAGCAGGUCGCAGUCCCUGCCGCGCCUGGGGCUCGGGGAGGCGGCGGCGAGGAUGGCGAUGGUCAGGACGACGGCGAGGAGGGGGCGGCGGGCGUUCCGGGUGCGCGCGGGGGUGGGCGUGGAGAUCGCCAGCGCCGUGGAGGUGAUCAACGACCUGGGCUUCGACACCCUCACCUUCCUCGGCGUCACCGUCCUCGUCGUCCCCGCCUUCCGCGUCGUCAAGGCUAGCCCGAUCCUCGGCUUCUUCUGCGCCGGCGUCGUCCUCAACCAGUUCGGCCUCAUCAGGAACCUCACCGACGUCAAGCUCCUCUCCGAGUGGGGGAUCCUCUUCCUGCUGUUCGAGAUGGGGCUGGAGCUCUCCCUCUCUCGCCUCAAAGCCCUUGCCAAGUUCGCCUUCGGGAUCGGUUUGCCUCAGGUUCUUCUGUCAACGCUGGCCUUCGCGGCAUUUGAGCUUCCCCCUAAUGGUGCUAUUGGAACAAGAAUCCUGCAGUUCCUCUUUAAUUCAAGACCUGACCUGGUGAAUAUCAGGAGUGUCGACGAAGCAAUAGUGAUUGGAGCUGCCCUCUCCUUAUCUUCAUCUGCUUUUGUUCUUCAGCUUCUUGCUGAGAAAGGUGAGCUUGCAACAAGAUUUGGUUCGGCCACACUGGGAAUCCUCCUCCUCCAGGAUAUUGCCGUUGUUCCUCUCUUGGUCAUACUCCCUGUUCUAGAGAGUCAGAAUGUUGUGGAGCAAAGUGUGUGGCCUAUGCUACUAGCUGAAAGCUUAAAAGCACUGGGUGGACUUGGCAUACUUUCACUUGGAGGGAAAUAUCUCAUCAGGCGCAUCUUUGAGUUUGUUGCAGAGUCGAGGAGCUCAGAAGCAUUUGUUGCCCUCUGCCUUCUCACCGUUUCAGGAACCUCACUUCUCACCCAGUGGUUGGGCUUUAGUGACACUCUAGGUGCUUUUCUGGCUGGGGCCCUCCUUGCAGAAACAAAUUUCCGUACGCAAAUAGAAGCUGACAUAAGACCAUUCAGAGGCUUGCUCCUUGGAUUGUUCUUUGUGACAACAGGAACUUCUAUCGACAUGCAGCUUCUCAUCCGUGAGUGGCCUAAUGUUCUAUCGCUGUUGGCUGGCCUUAUUGCAAUCAAGACAUUGAUAACUACUGCAUUAGCAACAAGAGUCGGACUAACUUUUCAAGAGAGUGUAAGGAUAGGAUUGCUGCUAUCUCAAGGAGGGGAGUUUGGGUUCGUGGUAUUUUCUUUGGCAAACAGGCUUGGCGUCCUACCGCUUGAGCUGAAUAAGCUGCUCAUUAUCGUCGUUGUGCUGUCAAUGGCAUUAACUCCGUUACUGAAUGACCUUGGAAGAAAAGCAGCAGGAAUCAUUGAUGAGAGAUCUGAAACAAAAGAAGUAAAACCAGCUGAGGAGGCAAAUUAUGGUGCGACUGAACCUAUUGUCAUUCUUGGCUUUGGAGAGAUGGGACAGGUCCUUGCAAAGUUUUUGGCUGCACCAUUAUCUUUCGGGCUCGAGCGAGAUACAGAAGGAUGGCCGUAUGUCGCGUUUGAUCUAAAUCCUGCUGUUGUAAAGUCAGCCAGAAAAUCAGGAUUUCCAGUGUUAUAUGGAGAUGGUUCACGCCCCGCCGUUAUGCAAUCUGCUGGCAUAUCUUCUCCUAAAGCUGUCAUGAUCAUGUAUACCGGGAAGGAAGAAACAGUCGAGUCUGUCGACAGAUUGCGACAAGCUUUUCCUGCGGUUCCCGUGUAUGUUAGGGCUCAAGACAUGUCUCAUUUGUUGGAUCUAAGGAAAGCAGGUGCGACAGAUGUUGUUCUGGAAAAUGCUGAGACUAGCUUGCAACUCGGCUCGAUGCUUAUGAAAGGGCUGGGUGUCAUGUCUGAUGAUGUAUCUUUCCUGAGUAAGCUUGUGAGGGACUCGAUGGAGUUACAAGCUCAGGAGGCACUCAACAACGUCGAGUCUCGUGAAACUACUACCAUGGAGUCACUUCAGGUUAGGGUAUCGGACUUGGUUGAGUCCAAUGGGAACGGUUCCGGAAUGAUUCCCCGGGAGCAAUCGCUAGGUCUAAGCAGUCGUCCGGAGGUACGGGUGAUGAAAACGACUCCGGAUAAUCCCAUGCCUAAUUUGAACAACAAAAACGAAUCUGAAGACGGUGUGAAAUAUUGUCUCCUGGAAACCGCUGACGGCGAGGAAACGGUGGAGCCUCCAGCGGAAGCAAGGAGAUGACGGACCAGACCAGUUUCUGUAAAACCAAGGCGCAGUCUGAAGCGAAGGCACUGAACUUGUGGUUUCCUCAUAGGUAAUAGCUCUCAUUGUACAGCACAUCUGGAGACUGAAGCGCCGAAACUUGGAGGCACACAAUCUGUGGACACGACGUUUGCACUGCGUCGUGCGAGCUGAGAUUUGCAGCUCGCAAAUUGAAACCGGAAAUGUCAAUUCGGGCAUAUUGAGAUUUACAGCCGUGAUUGGAAUUUGCGGCGGGCAUUUAGAAAUUGAAGCAUCAACAUUUCAGAAUCCCUGAAAAGCAUUAUUGGCAGGGUGAUUUGUGCAAGCAGAAGUAACCUGUAUGGCUAGAUAAUUAUUUGUAUCACAUUUCUCUGAUUUGUGUCUGUUGUAUACAACUAGGACCGUAGGCCAAAUAAUUCCUGUAAAAAAAAUCAUGUACAUGCGCACAUGCAGAAACUAGUGAGUGUAUAAUAAUACUGGACCAAACGGUUUGUCCUCGCCGCGACAAGUUGAACUUUCUGAAUGAA
RNA transcript from Triticum aestivum (bread wheat), 3094 nucleotides. It is a transcript of the gene named K(+) efflux antiporter 3, chloroplastic-like, with no coding region annotated. The transcript has 18 exons. Lineage: Eukaryota; Viridiplantae; Streptophyta; Magnoliopsida; Poales; Poaceae. The record is from RefSeq and is a predicted model, not a curated record.